GGAGGGACUGUGGCUCGGUGGUACAGCAUCUGCUUGAGAUGCAGAAGGUCCCAGGUUCAAUCCCUGGCAUCUCCA
Non-coding RNA from Euleptes europaea (tarantolino), 75 nucleotides. Lineage: Eukaryota; Metazoa; Chordata; Lepidosauria; Squamata; Sphaerodactylidae. The record is from the annotation of a RefSeq genome assembly.